Lynx canadensis (Canada lynx) is the source of this 2489-nucleotide long non-coding RNA. RefSeq lists it as uncharacterized. The transcript is spliced from 3 exons. Lineage: Eukaryota; Metazoa; Chordata; Mammalia; Carnivora; Felidae. The record is from RefSeq and is a predicted model, not a curated record.
AACCCACAAAUCAUGAGAUCAUGACCUGAGCUGAAGUCCGAGGCUUAACCAACUGAGCCAGGUACCCCUGUCCUGGAAGUUUUAACUGAAGUCACUCCAUAGGCUGUGAUUCAGAACAUUCUCAUGCUCCAUCUUUCUCCACCUCCUGGGAUAGAGCUGGAAGGUUGUUUGGUUUGGCCAGCAGAUCAGGAGCGGAUAGCACCAAUAACCACUCAGUGUGGGAAACACGCGCCCUCCACUUGCCUGGUGCCCACCCCGCUCACCCUCCUCUGCCUUGCCCUCAACCCCCACACUGGAAAGAGCAUCCUUUAGAUGGCACCCAAAGAUCGCUUAUUUUUCUAACUAGUUGGGUUUUUUUUUAAUAAAAACAAUACAGUCAUGAUAAAAAAAAUUCAUUGCCAGAAAAAUUAAGUAAUAAGAUAAAAGUACCCACCCCGUCUCCAUCCAUUCCCCUGCCAUAACCAAUAUGAAAUUUCUUGUGUAGUCUUCCAAAAUUUUUCUAUGUAUCACAUGUGUGCAUGCACCCCAUUUCUUUUUACAUAAAUUGCAUCAUACCAUCUAACUUUCCUUGGAUACCAUUUUGAACAUUUGGUUCUACUCUCUUCUUCAGAAUAGCUGCUGGCUUACUACCUCCCUGUAUGUAUGCAUGUACCCUAAUUUACCCAGCCUCUCCUCCUGAGGAACAGUUACGGUGGCUCCACUUUUUUUGCUAUUAUAAACAGCACUGCAGUGGACAUCUCCAGGCAUAAAGCCUGCUUUGAAGUGAUCUGCCCUUCUGGUAAUUGCUAUAAUAUGUACUCAUCAAUUUGGUAUAUAUGGGUUCACCACCAGGUAUCUUACCAUAAAAAUCAACUAUUGCUUGAGAUUUAUUCCAUCAUCUUAACUCCAGAGUGAGGAAAAGGCAUUUUUAACCAAGUACUGAGCAACAUAACUUGUGUUCUAUCCUGAGUCAGGCACUAUGUGGGAAAUAGAAGUCUAAGACAAGGGCUCUGUCCCCAGGGAUGUGGGUCUAUUAAGAAGACAAAACUGAUGGCCAAAAUAUAAGCCAGAGAAUAGCAAAGAGCAUUAAGGAAUUGUAAGUGAACUGAUGUGGCUCUGAGGCCUGCAUGGCCAGAGGGAAUUUGAGAACUCCCAGAUCAGCUUUGGGCUUGGGCUGUAACAGCUUUAAGCUCCCUUAUACCCAGGAAAAUGGGAAGGGCCUCCCCAAAGAAAAUCAAAUCAAAUCAAAAUGAUUGUCGUUCUGUUCCCAAAUGCUUGUGUUCUGCUCAUCUGGGCCCAGGGCUGGUUUAUUUCCUUCUGCACAAUGUAGGACCCUGCUUUCACUACAUAAGUGGCAUUUUCUAUUCCUUUGAUGUUCCUCUACAGCCCCACAAAGAAACCAGAAAAUAAAACUGUCAACAACAAAUUCUCUUCCAGCAAGAUGGAACCACAUAAAUCUCCAUGAUGUUCAAAGACAUUGCUUCUUUUCUUCCUGGGAAAAGCUGGGAAGCUAAGAAGAGGUUCAGCAUGAAUAGAGCUGAAAUGAUGACAGGCUGAUCCCCAGACCUGGAGAUAAGACGGCAUCGGACAGCCCUGUCCCACUCCUAUGGGACCGGACAGACCCACCCGGGGGAGGUAACAAGAGAAAGACACACCGGAGUCACCCACGCGCGCCCGGCGGACAGAAUCGGAAGUAGAGCGGAGCCAGCAGCAGCUGGCAGUGGCAGCGGAGGGAGGCGGGGCCCAGGCGGAACCCGCCCCUUAGAACGCGAUCCUACCCGCCGACUGGCCGCGACGCCUGGAACUCCAGCCAAUCUUUAAAGCCUUUGAAAGCCCUACGGCCAAGCAGUGCGGAGCUGAGCCAAUGGGCGGCCGCGUUACAGGCUCCUGGAUACCGAAGUCGCGAGUGCUUGCGGUGUAGUAGCUGGCAAAAGUAGAAGCCAGGUCGUGGCUGGCAAUGGCAGCUCAGCGCCCCGGUCUACAUCCGACUGAAGUGUGCCCGCAGCCGACCGGGGCCUGGAGGGUGGGGCAGGCGGACGGCGGCAGAGAUGAGUCCACCCGGAGCUUGGGCGUGGGUGGCGGCCGAGGGUUUGCGGCAAGAGGCCUUUUGUGAAGUCAAUCGGUUCUCACGGCCUCUCAGGGUGCGGUCCUUGGAUCGCCUGCAUCACCAUGGGGUGGGGGUGGGGGAGAGCUCAUUUCAAAUGUGGACUUUGCAGCCCACCCUGGACCCACCGAAUCGGAAAUCCAGCGGUGAGCCUUAGGUGAUUGUUAUGCGCUCUUACGUUUAAGAAUAUGUACCGGAAACCAGACUGUAAUGGGGUGGGUCGACAGCUCACUGAUAUUCAGUGUGUUGGCUGUGUUCUCGAUCUUUCUGCCAGCAUCUUAAGGACUCAUUUAGCCUCGGGAUCUUAGUAAAACCAUCUGUAGAAUGAAAUGAUGCUCUUUGACCUAAGUUCUUUUUUUUUUUUAUUUCUUUAAAUUUUUAUUUUUUUAACAUUUGUUCAUUUUUG